CGUCGACCGGCGCACGGGUGAGUAACGCGUAUCCAACCUGCCCCACACUAAGGGAUAACCCGCAGAAAUGUGGACUAAUACCUUAUAUUUUCCACCAAGGGCAUCGUCGAUGGAACAAAGAUUUAUCGGUAUGGGAUGGGGAUGCGUCCGAUUAGGUUGUUGGCGGGGUAACGGCUCACCAAGCCUUCGAUCGGUAGGGGUUCUGAGAGGAAGGUCCCCCACAUAGGAACUGAGACACGGUCCUAACUCC
This 250-nucleotide ribosomal RNA is filed under the name uncultured Prevotellaceae bacterium. Its description in RNAcentral is "partial 16S ribosomal RNA". It matches the Rfam family "Bacterial small subunit ribosomal RNA", at positions 89 to 339 of the family's 1533-position model. The record is from RNAcentral. Lineage: Bacteria; Pseudomonadati; Bacteroidota; Bacteroidia; Bacteroidales; Prevotellaceae.